AUCCAAGUGACGAGUCCAAAAUAGGACGAAACGCAAGUCCUGGAU
This is a non-coding RNA of Schistosoma mattheei, 45 nucleotides long. The record is from Rfam. Lineage: Eukaryota; Metazoa; Platyhelminthes; Trematoda; Strigeidida; Schistosomatidae.